This 240-nucleotide unclassified non-coding RNA is filed under the name soil metagenome. RNAcentral describes it as "partial contains 5.8S ribosomal RNA, internal transcribed spacer 2, and large subunit ribosomal RNA". The record is from RNAcentral.
AAGACUAUAGACCUGCGGAGUACCUGCGGAAGGAUCAUUACUGAGUGAGGGCCCUCUGGGUCCAACCUCCCACCCGUGUUUAUUGUACCUUGUUGCUUCGGCGAGCCCGCCUCACGGCCGCCGGGGGGCAUUUGCCCCCGGGCCCGCGCCCGCCGAAGACAUCAUUGAACUCUGUCUGAAGAUUGCAGUCUGAGUAGAUUAGCUAAAUCAGUUAAAACUUUCAACAACGGAUCUCUAGAU